Long non-coding RNA from Anguilla anguilla (European eel), 1210 nucleotides. RefSeq lists it as uncharacterized. The record is from RefSeq and is a predicted model, not a curated record. NCBI's taxonomy places the organism in Eukaryota, Metazoa, Chordata, Actinopteri, Anguilliformes, Anguillidae. The transcript is spliced from 4 exons.
UCUCCUGAAACUGGCUGUGAAAAAAAAUGAGGGACUUCAAUAAAGAUAUGGAAGGAGGACCCUACAUCCUUCCUUAUCCUGAUGGAUCAAAAGUCAUCAACAUCCCUGGGACACAAAAGCCUUUCACGCCGAAAGAAUACAAAGCAGAAAUAGGCCGGACACAUGCACAAAUUACACUUUUUAUAUUCCAUGAAAAGGACCGGGAAGAAGAUCGAGAACUUGGGUCAGAGCAUUCAGAAUCUGACACUGAGGUUGUGAUUGGAAGUAGCAGACGUACAGCUGAGUUUGAUCUCGCUGACACACUGCCAUUGGAACCAGAAUGAAAGCAGCCCCAUACCAAAAGUGAGAGGAACAAUCAAUCGUCUUGGGGGACCGUCACCAGGGAGUGCAGUACCAGAGGUAGUAAUAUAUUGCUAGAGAUUACUUGUCACAAUCCAAUUCAAACUACAUGGGAUUGCCUUUUAUGUGUGUAUUAGGCUACUCAUUUGUAUAUAGGCCUAAUGUAGUUUCAUAGAUUAUAGACAGCUAUAUUUGUAAUCACAUUCUACUUUCUGCGUGUCCAGUAUUUUAAAGAAUGGGCAUAGGCAUAGCCUAAUAAAGCAUUGGUCAUUCUUUAUUGAAAAACCCAGGAGUUAAAAGUAAAAUGUAAACAACCACAGAGAUGGUUAAUCCCAAAGCAUUGAAAAAUGAUCAAAAUGUAUUACUUUCUAGAUGGUAAUGCAAAUGAGUAAAUAGAAAUGUAAAAUUUUAAUCAAAAUGUGCAAGUCUCUUCACUGACAGUAGGUACAUUCUGAAUUAACAUGGAUUACCUAUGAGGUAAGUGGUAGAGUUCAUUUGGUAUUCCCCCAGGACAUGAUGCAAGUCUUGAGGGCCAAAUCCUGUGCUUGUUCCAGAGAUCGGUUUAUUCAUUGAGAUCUUUCUGCAGAAUAUUUCUAAAGCAGAAUCUGAGUAGACACUGGUGUUCAUUGCUGCCAUUAAAGUGUCCUGCGUCUGUGAAGUCCAUCCAAAAUUGAGCCCUAGGAAUAAAUUGAAUACAACUCCAUAAAUAAAACUAAUUAUGACCUGCAAUACUGCAAGUGCUUUAUAAAAGUACAACACGGUGUUAACAAAGUAUUGCAAUGGUGGCUCUAGUGACACCAGGGUAGCCUACAUCCUUAACAGUGGUUCCCAACCAAGGGUAGUAGGGUUGAGCCCAGAGACUGUAAAAAAU